This is a long non-coding RNA of Anas platyrhynchos (mallard), 2677 nucleotides long. RefSeq lists it as uncharacterized. The record is from RefSeq and is a predicted model, not a curated record. NCBI's taxonomy places the organism in Eukaryota, Metazoa, Chordata, Aves, Anseriformes, Anatidae.
CCUCACCUGGCUCCUAAGGCAGGCAGCCUGCUGGGACGUGGGCCCUUCCCUUCCAACUCAGAGCUAGCAGAGCAUGCACACAUGAUCUCUGCCUGGUGCUGCAAGGUGACAGAGCUCACAGCCAGGUUUUUGGCAGAGGCAGGCAUUCCUCUCGUUCAAGCUGCUGAGACCUCAGCCUGGAGUUAUUUCAGUGGGGGCUGGGGGAUGUUGAUGCUGAAUAUCAUGCUCCUUUCUGGUGCUGGUGAGGGAGAUUUGCACAAAUGGUUCCCCUGGAGCUGCAGGGAAGUAUUCCCACGGGGUCUGGACAGCUGCAGGAAAUGUCAGAAACCCAGAGCAGGUAGCACCGAUACUGACUCAGCACGAAGCCCGUGUGCAUGACUGGUCCUGGUCAGCCAGCAGAAAACAUUGCACAAUCAACCUCCCUCCAGGUGCAGUGCAGGACAGGGAAGUCUACGGGGGUGCUUCCUCCCUCCCAUUGCUUUGGGGGGCUCUCAUCCCCCUCCUUCAGCGGUACUUGAGCAGAGGCUACCCCCAAUGCAGGAAUCGGCUGUAUCCAAGAACCAAAUCUGCAUAGAGGAAGAAAAGGAAAGACCAGCAGCAAGGUAGGAAAUGGCUUCUUGGAAAAGGCUUCCUGCACUUUGACAAUGAAGAGGCAAUUUCCCAGAAGGCUGCAGAUGUUCCCCUUAAAAAUCGUGGCUCAGAAAUGCUCAUUAAUGACAGCUGUAAUCUUGCAUUUUGCUGGCUCAGUUUAAUCAGCCUGUUCUGACAAGGCAUGCAGGCGGUGGCAUUGCUGGGGUCUAGAACUGAUGGAGUGAAAAGGAGGGAGAGCAAAGGAGGUUUCUAAAGGCUCUGCAGUCAGCUCAACCUGUUGGACUGCAUGUGCUUUGUGUGACAUGUUACAAGAGUUGCACUGAGGUCUGAAUUUACUUUGGGUCUCAAAUCUUAGCAAAAUAAACAGUACGGUUAUAUGGGUUAUAUGAUGUGGAUACUACAGGGAAGAAUCACCCACUUCAAUAUACUGCUGGGCACGAGCUGGGCAGAAGAAAGAGGUUUGAUUGCCCGCGUUGAGAAAUCAGGGCUGGCAAAGAAACCGGUCGCAGUCUCUGUGUGUUCUCUUACUGUGUUUUUGUGUCCUCUGUCAAAUCCGGUGGAAAUAUUUAAGAAGGAUCAUUCAUUUUUAAUGUUCUCUCGGUGGCCUUAGCAGUACAGUGAAGAGAUAAAAGCGCCCUUUUCCAGUGGAGAGAGCAGAAAUUCACGUGGUUACAGCUGAUUACCAGCCUGCGGACACAUCAGGGCGAGGAUGACGGCACCGGGCUCUUUGAGGUUUCCUACACAGACCAUAAACGGGGCCGUGUGCCCCUUGGAUGGGUUGUAAGCACUGCACCAAGAGGCCCGGCUGGGCUGACAGCGAGAGCUCUCCAGCCAAGCAGGCCAAGAGCAAAACCACCGUGAAAUGUUGGGCAGCACCACGCAGUGUCAGCCACCCAGGGCUCCCUCCUGGCCCGGGCACCGCAGUCCUUCCUCCUGUGCAUUGCGGUACUCGGCACAAAGCUCCCCCAAAGCAGAGCUGUUCCUGCUCUCGCAGCAACACGUGGCUGCCCACCAGCUCCUGCAGUACCCGGGUGCUGCAGGGCUGGGGAACCUUCCCCGUGUCACAGCUCCUCACCAAGCCAGAGCACGCAGCCGUGGUAGCGCUUAAUGAUUUUCUGAACCUUGCCUUCAUUCUACUCCAUAGCCAUUCUCAUUAACUCGCUGCAUUAAUUUUAUACAGCUUAAACUGGCAGCCAGUCCCUCUGAAGCAGAGAAGUGGUAUUUUUAAAUCUAUAUUCUGUCUAUAAAUACAUCUGCCUCACAGAAAUCAGCUGUUUGUGGCUGAUCUUAUAGCAGAGAGGAUGACUCAAAGAGGCUUACGUGCUGCAAUGUUUUCAUCAGAGCUGGAAAAAAAAAAAAGAAAAAAGAAAAAAGAAAAAAAAAAAGCACCCUAAAUUCCCUGUGAAUUAGAUGGGUCCAUGACUACGGACAGAUCCUGUACUUCUUCCCAGCCAGCCAAAGUGUGGCACUGGUUUCGGGUGGUCUGUACCCAACACAGUAAGACUAGCCGUCACAUUUUGGUACGCUUCCCUAGAAAACCAGCCAGCAUUUGAUUUCCUCAAGUAAAAAUUAACAAGGCAGAACUACCGCGUAGACUGCUAAUUACUGCAAACGCCACGCAGCUCGUGGUUUCCUCCCCUCCCUGCCCCACUUUGUUGCAGAACACGUACCAGCCGUUGUAUUGAAUUGUACACCCAGAAAAUAAUAUUAAAAGGACAUGAGCGAGGCUGCAGAGCCAGCCCUGCAGAAGCAGGGGGCUCUAAUGGAAUUAAGGCGCUCCCUGAAGCCAUUAGCUGGGAGAUGAAGGCUCGGUGAUGGCUUCGGGGACGUGCUGGUUUAGGUGAGGGGAAAGGGGAACGACCCCAUCUGAAAAUAAGAAGAUGGGUGUUUGGGUACCAGGUGCUGGGAUGUGGCUGGCACAGCACGGAGAGGGCCGGGGCUCCUGGAGAGCACCUGCAGCUCCUCCUCCGAGCUGCUCGAAGCCUCCUGGCCGAGCGUGCCCAAGGGUAGACAAGCCCGGAGCUGAUGCCCAUCCUCCCUCUGUACCUUCCUGGUUAUGACAGCCUAAAGCCCCGUGACACCUCCC